Molecule: long non-coding RNA, 289 nt
Filed under: Homo sapiens (human)
Lineage: Eukaryota; Metazoa; Chordata; Mammalia; Primates; Hominidae
Description: PREDICTED lncRNA (TCONS_00251409)
Source: RNAcentral
GAUUACCAAUAAAUAGCGUGGGCUCCCAGCGCUCAGGGCCUUCGCAGUCUCCACGAUCACGAUGGUCCUCUGGUGUCCCAUCUUUCUCUCUCAAACUGUCCUUUCCUCAAUCCUUUGACUCCGCCGGACUUUGUCACCCCCACAACCUGGUUUUGGGUCUGGCCACCCCAACAUUAAGGUUUAAUUAUGACAAACAUAUUAAACACAGAAAGACCCUACUUUACUUGACAUCUAAAUGUGAAUGAAUUUAUUAAUGUCACAUGUUGCAACAUUAAAGGGACAACUUGAC